GCACAGGAUGCACCGUAGUUUACUACACCGUAUUCUGUGAGUUGCGAACGGGUGAGUAACGCGUAGGUAACCUGCCUGGUAGCGGGGGAUAGCUAUUGGAAACGAUAGCUAAUACCGCAUAAGAACAUUUACUGCAUGGUAGAUGUUUAAAAGGUGCAAAUGCAUCACUACCAGAUGGACCUGCGUUGUAUUAGCUAGUAGGUGAGGUAACGGCUCACCUAGGCGACGAUACAUAGCCGACCUGAGAGGGUGAUCGGCCACACUGGGACUGAGACACGGCCCAGACUCCUACGGGAGGCAGCAGUAGGGAAUCUUCGGCAAUGGGGGGAACCCUGACCGAGCAACGCCGCGUGAGUGAAGAAGGUUUUCGGAUCGUAAAGCUCUGUUGUUAAGGAAGAACGAGUGUGAGAAUGGAAAGUUCAUACUGUGACGGUACUUAACCAGAAAGGGACGGCUAACUACGUGCCAGCAGCCGCGGUAAUACGUAGGUCCCGAGCGUUGUCCGGAUUUAUUGGGCGUAAAGCGAGCGCAGGCGGUUAGAUAAGUCUGAAGUUAAAGGCAGUGGCUCAACCAUUGUAGGCUUUGGAAACUGUUUAACU
This 599-nucleotide ribosomal RNA is filed under the name uncultured Streptococcus sp. RNAcentral's name for it is "bacterial SSU rRNA". It matches the Rfam family "Bacterial small subunit ribosomal RNA", at positions 57 to 642 of the family's 1533-position model. Lineage: Bacteria; Bacillati; Bacillota; Bacilli; Lactobacillales; Streptococcaceae. The record is from RNAcentral.